CCUACGGGCGGCAGCAGUGAGGAAUAUUGGUCAAUGGGCGCGAGCCUGAACCAGCCAAGUAGCGUGAAGGAUGACUGCCCUACGGGUUGUAAACUUCUUUUAUAAAGGAAUAAAGUGAGGCACGUGUGCCUUUUUGUAUGUACUUUAUGAAUAAGGAUCGGCUAACGCCGUGCCAGCAGCCGCGGUAAUACGGAGGAUCCGAGCGUUAUCCGGAUUUAUUGGGUUUAAAGGGAGCGUAGAUGGGUUGUUAAGUCAGUUGUGAAAGUUUGCGGCUCAACCGUAAAAUUGCAAUUGAUACUGGCAGCCUUGAGUAAAGUGGGGGUAGGCGGAAUUCGUGGUGUAGCAGUGAAAUGCGUAGAUAUCACGAAGAACUCCGAUUGCGAAGGCAGCUUACUAAACUGCCACUGACAUUGAGGCACGAAGGUGUGGGUAUCAAACAGGAUUAGAUACCCUAGUAGUC
This 460-nucleotide ribosomal RNA is filed under the name uncultured bacterium. Its description in RNAcentral is "partial 16S ribosomal RNA". It matches the Rfam family "Bacterial small subunit ribosomal RNA", at positions 338 to 795 of the family's 1533-position model. The record is from RNAcentral.